This 157-nucleotide ribosomal RNA is filed under the name Pleosporales sp. Its description in RNAcentral is "5.8S ribosomal RNA". It matches the Rfam family "5.8S ribosomal RNA". From Rfam's summary of the family: 5.8S ribosomal RNA (5.8S rRNA) is a component of the large subunit of the eukaryotic ribosome. It is transcribed by RNA polymerase I as part of the 45S precursor that also contains 18S and 28S rRNA. Lineage: Eukaryota; Fungi; Ascomycota; Dothideomycetes; Pleosporales. The record is from RNAcentral.
CAACUUUCAACAACGGAUAUCUUGGUUCUGGCAUCGAUGAAGAACGCAGAGAAAUGCGAUAAGUAGUGUGAAAUGCAGAAUUCAGUGAAUCAUAGAAUCUUUGAACGCACACUGCGCCCCCUGGUAUUCCAUGGGGCACGCCCGUUCGAGCGUCAUU